AUGUUGAUGGUACACUACCGUGCCCUUCGUCGUAUCAUCCGGCGCAUCAUGCUUGGGUGGCCCAAGAUCAAGCCAUUCUCUCUGCUAUUCAGUCCUCUCUCAUGGAGGGAGUCUUGUUGCUGGUCAUCUUCGCCGCUACGUCUCGGGACGCGUGGACAGCUCUUCAUACUAGUUUUGCUUCGCAGUCCCAGGCGCGUGCUCACCGUCAUCGACUACUUCAAUAAGGUGACAGGUAUGGCUGACACACUUGCCUCCAUCUGCUAG
Molecule: ribosomal RNA, 264 nt
Filed under: Triticum aestivum (bread wheat)
Lineage: Eukaryota; Viridiplantae; Streptophyta; Magnoliopsida; Poales; Poaceae
Description: partial small subunit ribosomal RNA
Source: RNAcentral